AAGAGUUGAAUGGGCAUGAAAAAGUUGCCACCAUGAUAUUCCAGAUAACUUUCUCUCCACCAGACACAUACCAAUUACUCUCUUUUUCUUACUAAUCAGAGAGGGAUGACACAAACUACCUUGGAUUUUUCUCCAACACCAACAAUCAUCAUGCUCUUCUCCUUUCCACUCUCUCUCACCCUUCUCUACCAUCAUCAUCAUCAUCAUCAUCAUCAUUACCUUCUCAAAGCCACCGCCACCUAUUCCUUUUUCAUAAACAUCAUCAUCAUCGUCAUCAUCUUCCACCGACCCCCUCUUGCAUUUCAUGAUCGUCUCCUUCUCCAUCACAUCCAGGAGCCAUUUUUACACACCAAACAAGGUCACAGACAAACGCAACAAGAUCCUACAACCCAUCAACUCCCGGGGAAUCAAGCAUCUUGGUCCGAUUCGUUUCACUUUUGGCUAUGAUUCAGUGUUACUAAGUAGCCCUUUUCCUUUGUAGGUAUCUAUAUAUUCAACUUUUCAUUGGCAAGACAAUUCGCUAAAUACUAGUUUCUUUUUCUAUUAUC
Vigna radiata var. radiata (mung bean) is the source of this 548-nucleotide long non-coding RNA. RefSeq lists it as uncharacterized. The record is from RefSeq and is a predicted model, not a curated record. The transcript has 2 exons. NCBI's taxonomy places the organism in Eukaryota, Viridiplantae, Streptophyta, Magnoliopsida, Fabales, Fabaceae.